AUUGAACGCUGGCGGCAGGCCUAACACAUGCAAGUCGAGCGAUCGGCGGACAGGUGAGUAAUGUCUGGGAAACUGCCUGAAGGAGGGGGAUAACUACUGGAAACGGUAGCUAAUACAGCAUACCAUCAGAUGUGCCCAGAUGGGCAUAGCUAGUGGGUGGUGUGACGGCUCACCUAGGCGACGAUCCCUAGCUGGUCUGAGAGGAGGACCAGCCACACUGGAACUGAGACACGGGCCAGACUCCUACGUGAGGCAGCAGGGGGGAAUAGUGCACAAUGGGCGCAAGCCUGAUGCAGCCAUGCCGCGUGUGUGAAGAAGGCCGUCGGGUUGUAAAGCACUUUCGGCGGGGAGGCGUUACCCGCAGAAGAAGCACCGGCUAACUACGUGCCAGCAGCCGCGGUAAUUC
Molecule: ribosomal RNA, 406 nt
Filed under: uncultured bacterium
Lineage: Bacteria
Description: partial 16S ribosomal RNA
Rfam family: Bacterial small subunit ribosomal RNA
Source: RNAcentral